Molecule: ribosomal RNA, 740 nt
Filed under: uncultured bacterium
Lineage: Bacteria
Description: bacterial SSU rRNA
Rfam family: Bacterial small subunit ribosomal RNA
Source: RNAcentral
AGAGUUUGAUCAUGGCUCAGAACGAACGCUGGCGGCAGGCCUCAAACAUGCAAGUCGAGCGCCCAGCAAUGGGAGCGGCGGACGGGUGCGUAACACGUGGGAAUGUACCUAUCGGUUCGGAACAACUCAGGGAAACUUGUGCUAAUACCGGAUACGCCCGCAAGGGGAAAGAUUUAUCGCCGAUGGAUCAGCCCGCGUAGGAUUAGCUUGUUGGUAGGGUAACGGCCUACCAAGGCGACGAUCCUUAGCUGUUCUGAGAGGAAGAUCAGCCACACUGGGACUGAGACACGGCCCAGACUCCUACGGGAGGCAGCAGUUGGGAAUCUUGGACAAUGGGCGAAAGCCUGAUCCAGCCAUGCCGCGUGAGUGAUGAAGGCCUUCGGGUUGUAAAGCUCUUUUGUCAGGGACGAUAAUGACGGUACCUGAAGAAUAAGCUCCGGCUAACUUCGUGCCAGCAGCCGCGGUAAUACGAAGGGGGCUAGCGUUGUUCGGAUUUACUGGGCGUAAAGCGCGCGCAGGCGGCCUUUCAAGUCAGGGGUGAAAGCCCAGAGCUCAACUCUGGAAUUGCCUUUGAAACUGUGAGGCUCGAGUGCGGGAGAGGUGAGUGGAAUUCCCAGUGUAGAGGUGAAAUUCGUAGAUAUUGGGAAGAACACCGGUGGCGAAGGCGGCUCACUGGCCCGUUUCUGACGCUCAGGCGCGAUAGCGUGGGGAUCAAACAGGAUUAGAUACCCUAGUAGUCC